Non-coding RNA from Cinara cedri, 210 nucleotides. The record is from the annotation of a GenBank genome assembly. NCBI's taxonomy places the organism in Eukaryota, Metazoa, Arthropoda, Insecta, Hemiptera, Aphididae.
UAAGGAAGUUAAAAACAUUUUGGUAUGAUCCGUGCGUGGGUAUGUCUAAGAAUGUUAAAUUUGAAGGAAACAAAGUGUAGACAAUUAUUUUGCACAGAUUCUAUGGCCUUGUUUUGCUUAAGAAUAUUAUAAAUCAAAGAGCAAUAUUCAACAUUUGAGCAAACAAGAGAACAGUCGAGUGAUUUCAAGGCUGUUGGGUUAUAGAAUAAU